This 411-nucleotide ribosomal RNA is filed under the name uncultured soil bacterium. RNAcentral's name for it is "bacterial SSU rRNA". It matches the Rfam family "Bacterial small subunit ribosomal RNA", at positions 509 to 916 of the family's 1533-position model. The record is from RNAcentral.
CAGCAGCCGCGGUAAUACGUAGGGGGCAAGCGUUGUCCGGAUUUAUUGGGCGUAAAGAGCUCGUAGGCGGCUCACUAAGUCGGAUGUGAAAACUCCAGGCUCAACCUGGAGACGCUAUUCGAUACUGGUGUGGCUUGAGUUCGGUAGGGGAGCACGGAAUUCCUGGUGUAGCGGUGAAAUGCGCAGAUAUCAGGAGGAACACCGGUGGCGAAGGCGGUGCUCUGGGCCGAAACUGACGCUGAGGAGCGAAAGCGUGGGUAGCAAACAGGAUUAGAUACCCUGGUAGUCCACGCCGUAAACGUUGGGCACUAGGUGUGGGACCCUAUCGACGGGAUCCGUGCCGUAGCUAACGCAUUAAGUGCCCCGCCUGGGGAGUACGGCCGCAAGGCUAAAACUCAAAGGAAUUGACGG